RNAcentral lists this ribosomal RNA (679 nucleotides) under uncultured Cryptomonas. RNAcentral's name for it is "SSU rRNA". It matches the Rfam family "Eukaryotic small subunit ribosomal RNA", at positions 626 to 1316 of the family's 1831-position model. Lineage: Eukaryota; Cryptophyceae; Cryptomonadales; Cryptomonadaceae. The record is from RNAcentral.
GCUCGUAGUCGGAUUUUGGGCGCGUGUGAACUGUCAGCCUCUGGUUGGACGGUGCGCGCGUGCCUUUCUGCUUGGGAGCCCCAUGGUGGUUAAUUCUGUCGUGGUGGGUCACAGGCCGUUUACUUUGAAAAAAUUAGAGUGUUCAAAGCAGGCUGUUGCUUGAAUAGAUUAGCAUGGAAUAAUGGAAUAGGACCUUGGUGCUAUUUCGUUGGUUAUGGGACUGGGGUAAUGAUUAAUAGGGACAGUUGGGGCCGUUCAUAUUUCGUUGUCAGAGGUGAAAUUCUUGGAUUUACGAACGAUGAACUUGUGCGAAAGCAUUCGGCAAGGAUGUUUUCAUUGAUCAAGAACGAAAGUUAGGGGAUCGAAGACGAUCAGAUACCGUCGUAGUCUUAACCAUAAACUAUGCCAACUAGGGAUCAUUGAGUGUCAAUUUACGACCUCAUUGGCACCUUGUGAGAAAUCAAAGUUUUUGGGUUCCGGGGGGAGUAUGGUCGCAAGGCUGAAACUUAAAGGAAUUGACGGAAGGGCACCACCAGGAGUGGAGCCUGCGGCUUAAUUUGACUCAACACGGGGAAACUUACCAGGUCCAGACAUAGUCAGGAUGGACAGAUUGAAAGCUCUUUCUUGAUUCUAUGGGUGGUGGUGCAUGGCCGUUCUUAGUUGGUGGAGUGAUUUGUCU